Erpetoichthys calabaricus (reedfish) is the source of this 929-nucleotide long non-coding RNA. RefSeq lists it as uncharacterized. The transcript is spliced from 3 exons. NCBI's taxonomy places the organism in Eukaryota, Metazoa, Chordata, Cladistia, Polypteriformes, Polypteridae. The record is from RefSeq and is a predicted model, not a curated record.
GAUAGAUAGAUAGAUAGAUAGAUAGAUAGAUAGAUAGAUAGAUAGAUAGAUAGAUAGAUAGAUAGAUAGAUGUGAAAGGCGCUAUAUGAUAGAUAGAUAGAUAGAUAGAUAGAUAGAUAGAUAGAUAGAUAGAUAGAUGUGAAAGGCGCUAUAUGAUAGAUAGAUAGAUAGAUAGAUAGAUAGAUAGAUAGAUAGAUAGAUAGAUAGAUAGAUAGAUAGAUAGAUAGAUAGAUGUGAAAGGCGCUAUAUGAGAGAUAGAUAGAUAGAUAGAUAGAUAGAUAGAUAGAUAGAUAGAUAGAUAGAUAGAUAGAUAGAUGUGAAAGGCGCUAUAUGAUAGAUAGAUAGAUAGAUAGAUAGAUAGAUAGAUAGAUAGAUAGAUAGAUAGAUAGAUGUGAAAGGCGCUAUAUGAUAGAUAGAUAGAUAGAUAGAUAGAUAGAUAGAUAGAUAGAUAGAUAGAUAGAUAGAUAGAUGUGAAAGGCGCUAUAUGAGAGAUAGAUAGAUAGAUAGAUAGAUAGAUAGAUAGAUAGAUAGAUAGAUAGAUAGAUAGAUAGAUAGAUAGAUGUGAAAGGCGCUAUAUGAUAGAUAGAUAGAUAGAUAGAUAGAUAGAUAGAUAGAUAGAUAGAUAGAUAGAUAGAUAGAUGUGAAAGGCGCUAUAUGAUAGAUAGAUAGAUAGAUAGAUAGAUAGAUAGAUAGAUAGAUGUGAAAGGCGCUAUAUGAUAGAUAGAUAGAUAGAUAGAUAGAUAGAUAGAUAGAUAGAUAGAUAGAUAGAUAGAUAGAUAGAUGUGAAAGGCGCUAUAUGAUAGAUAGAUAGAUAGAUAGAUAGAUAGAUAGAUAGAUAGAUAGAUAGAUAUGAAAGGCGCUAUAUGAUAGAUAGAUAGAUAGAUAGAUAGAUAGAUAGAUAGAUAGAUAGAUAGAUAGAUAGAUGUGAA